RNAcentral lists this non-coding RNA (84 nucleotides) under Oxyrrhis marina. Lineage: Eukaryota; Dinophyceae; Oxyrrhinales; Oxyrrhinaceae. The record is from RNAcentral.
GGAGGGGAGCGUGGCGAUCCUGCGCCUCCCCCCAGCCGCGGCGGGGGCCGGCGGGACCGCGCGGGCGGUGGGGUCGGAGCCAGA